Molecule: transfer RNA, 75 nt
Filed under: Candidatus Thorarchaeota archaeon
Lineage: Archaea; Promethearchaeati; Candidatus Thorarchaeota
Description: tRNA-Phe
Source: RNAcentral
GCCGCGGUAGAUCAGCCAGGGAGAUCGCACGGCUGAAGACCGUGUUGUCUUCGGGUUAACCCCGUUGACACGGGA